This 245-nucleotide ribosomal RNA is filed under the name uncultured bacterium. Its description in RNAcentral is "partial 16S ribosomal RNA". It matches the Rfam family "Bacterial small subunit ribosomal RNA", at positions 524 to 768 of the family's 1533-position model. The record is from RNAcentral.
UACGGAGGGUGCAAGCGUUAUCCGGAUUUACUGGGUUUAAAGGGUGCGCAGGCGGAUAUGUAAGUCAGUGGUGAAAUCUCUAGGCUUAACCUGGAAAUUGCCGUUGAUACUAUAUAUCUUGAAUGCUGUGGAGGUAAGCGGAAUAUGUCAUGUAGCGGUGAAAUGCUUAGAUAUGACAUAGAACACCUAUUGCGAAGGCAGCUUACUACGCAGAUAUUGACGCUCAUGCACGAAAGCGUGGGGAU